AGCGAACGCUGGCGGCAUGCCUAACACAUGCAAGUCGCACGGGGGGGCUUCGGCCUCCCAGUGGCGGACGGGUGAGGAACGCGUAGGGACCUGGCGAGGGGUGGGGGAUAACCGCGGGAAACUGCGGCUAAUACCGCAUGACGCCGCGGCGUGACAGCCGGGGCCAAAGGCGAAAGCCGCCCGCCGAGGGGCCUGCGUCCGAUUAGCUGGUUGGCGGGGUAGCGGCCCACCAAGGCGUCGAUCGGUAGCUGGUCUGAGAGGGUGAUCAGCCACACCGGGACUGAGACACGGCCCGGACUCCUACGGGAGGCAGCAGUGGGGAAUAUUGGACAAUGGGCGCGAGCCUGAUCCAGCAAUGCCGCGUGGGUGAAGAAGGUCUUCGGAUUGUAAAGCCCUUUCGGCGGGGACGAUGGUGACGGUACCCGCAGAAGAAGCCCCGGCUAACUUCGUG
Molecule: ribosomal RNA, 451 nt
Filed under: uncultured bacterium
Lineage: Bacteria
Description: partial 16S ribosomal RNA
Rfam family: Bacterial small subunit ribosomal RNA
Source: RNAcentral